ACGGAAGCAGCAGUGAGGAAUAUUGGUCAAUGGGCGGAAGCCUGAACCAGCCAUGUCGCGUGCAGGACUACGGCCCUACGGGUCUUAAACUGCUUUUGCAAGGGGAUAAAGUGGGGCACGCGUGCCCCUUUGCAGGUACCUUGCGAAUAAGGAUCGGCUAACUCCGUGCCAGCAGCCGCGGUAAUACGGAGGAUCCGAGCGUUAUCCGGAUUUAUUGGGUUUAAAGGGUGCGUAGGCGGGCUGUUAAGUCAGCGGUGAAACCCCCGGGCUCAACCCGGGAACUGCCAUUGAAACUGGCGGCCUAGAGUACGUUGGGAGUGCGCGGAAUGUGUGGUGUAGCGGUGAAAUGCAUAGAUAUCACACAGAACACCGAUCGCGAAGGCAGCGCACUACGCCGCAACUGACGCUGAGGCACGAAGGCGCGGGGAUCGAACAGGAUUAGAUACCCUGGUA
This 453-nucleotide ribosomal RNA is filed under the name uncultured Porphyromonadaceae bacterium. RNAcentral's name for it is "partial 16S ribosomal RNA". It matches the Rfam family "Bacterial small subunit ribosomal RNA", at positions 341 to 792 of the family's 1533-position model. The record is from RNAcentral. Lineage: Bacteria; Pseudomonadati; Bacteroidota; Bacteroidia; Bacteroidales; Porphyromonadaceae.